AGGAGGUGGAGCUCCAAGGACUGACACUCAUUGUAAUCUUGUUAAAACUGUUCUGUGUCUGUUGCAGAGCUCAUUCAAGCUGCAUUAGUGAACACAGACAAUGGUACCCCAAUCUAUUAUUCUGCUCUUUGUCUUUACAUGUACCACAUAUGGAAAUGAAAUCAAACCAACCAAACCUGAGGAGUUUUCUGAGGAGGGUUCAAGUGUUAAAUUAUCCUGCAGUUAUUCAUCUGCACAGUAUUUAUUCUGGUACCGUCAGUAUCCCGGAUCAGCUCCUGAAUUCCUUGUAAACCUCUUUUAUCAAGCAAAAGAUGCUAAGUCUGAUGUAGAUCCCAGAUUCACUGCUAAACCCAACAAAGAAAAGCAAAACCAUGUGGAUCUGGAGAUCUCCUCUGCUAAAGUGACUGACUCUGCUCUGUACUACUGUGCCCUGAGGCCCACAGUGACAGGAAACACAAGAACACUGUACAAAAACCUGACACAUCUGAGAAGACAAAUCUAUUUAUAUAUACAAUACUUAAAUACCUAUGAAGAAGACUUGUCCUCAGCACAGGACAGGGUUGAUCAGUCUUAA
Molecule: non-coding RNA, 574 nt
Organism: Carassius auratus (goldfish)
Lineage: Eukaryota; Metazoa; Chordata; Actinopteri; Cypriniformes; Cyprinidae
Source: the annotation of a RefSeq genome assembly